This 343-nucleotide unclassified non-coding RNA is filed under the name fungal sp. RNAcentral describes it as "partial internal transcribed spacer region". The stretch from base 1 to 46 matches the Rfam family "Eukaryotic small subunit ribosomal RNA", at positions 1786 to 1831 of the family's 1831-position model. The record is from RNAcentral. Lineage: Eukaryota; Fungi.
AAGUCGUAACAAGGUUUCCGUAGGUGAACCUGCGGAAGGAUCAUUAUCAAAAUGAUUUUAGCUUUUCCAAAAUUAAUCCUUUGGAAAGCUAACCUCUUCUAAACCAAUCUAAUUAAAAUGUGAAAUCGUUUCGUUUGUUUUUUUGAAUUUUGGAGCUUUUCUUAGUUUCAAAUUUCAUUGACAAACUUUUUUUUAACCAAUUGAACCCUUUUCUAUUUUGUUAUUUUAUUUCUAUUUAGUUCUGAAAUCUAUUAUAUUCCAAUAGCGAUAUUGGGCAUAUAAUAAGUUACAUUACGAAACAAUAUAAAUAAAACAACUCUUAGCAACGGAUAUCUUGGUUCUC